GGCUCCAGGAGGCCCCAGCUCCUCAUGCCCUGCAGCCCUGCCUGCCAGGCUUCUGUUGAGGCCCGGGCUCUGUCCUGCGGAGCCUGUUCUGGGGACUCAGCCCAGGAGGUAUUUACUGUGAAGGGGGCCAGGCUCCAGCCACUUGGUUAGUUCCAGGUCACUGUGUUUGGGGACGAUUCUCCUGCAGAUGGGGCCUUUGCUUUAAAAGCACAGUCGCCUGUGGUGGAAGGCCGGAAGGUGGGUCUCGCCUGGGAGGGUGUGUCCUCCCCUUGCCAGGGCCCUGGUGCUGGGAGCACUGUCCCCUGCUGAGGUCCCAACUCGCCCUGGAGGACCUGAGCCCAGGCCGCCUUGCUCACCUUUCAAACACUCCUUGGCGCCUCAGGGGCUGCUGGGGCCCAGCCUGAUGGUGGCGUGGCAUGAGGCAGUGUGGUGUGGGGCAGUGGUGGGGCAGCGUGGUGUCGGGCAGUGUGGUGUGGGGCUACGGGCGGUGUGGUAUCAGGCGACGUGGUAUCAAGCAGCGUGGUGUCGGGCAGCGUGGUGCAGGGCUGCCGUCCUGCCUGUGGGGCCGCAGUUGCAGCUUCGCUUCCUUCCAGGCCCUGAAGUACUCUUUCCAGACCCACGACCGCCUCUGCUUCGUCAUGGAGUACGCCAACGGGGGCGAGGUAGGGGCUGGGGCUGCGGGGGAUGGACUUUGUGGCCUGUGGGCCGCCCAUGGUGGGGCUGGUCCUUCCCGGAGCCUUGGCUACUCUCCAUGGCGCCAGACGGUGCUCCCUGCUGGGUGGGUGGUGUGAUGCCUGCCCAGGCAGCUGCCUGCUGUGGGGUGACUUGUUCCUGCUGAGUUAGGGCUUCUGAGACUUUCCAGGCCCCCGUGCCCUCUGGGGGCUGGUCCCUUCCCUGUGCCAAUGCCCUGAGACCCUGUCUGAGAAGCCCCAGCCCUGCAGGCCGUGGGGGCGGAGGCCCCAGCCACGGCUGUGCCUCAGGUCGCGCCUCCCGCAGCUGUUCUUCCACCUGUCCCGGGAGCGUGUGUUCUCUGAGGACCGGGCCCGCUUCUAUGGCGCUGAGAUCGUGUCAGCCCUGGACUACCUGCACUCGGAGAAGAACGUGGUGUACCGGGACCUCAAGGUGCGCUGGUGGGCAGGCGGCGGGGCAGGGCCCCGGGGGCCUGGUGGCACUGACCUGAGGCCACCUUUCCCCUAGCUGGAGAACCUCAUGCUGGACAAGGACGGGCACAUUAAGAUCACAGACUUCGGGCUGUGCAAGGAGGGGAUCAAGGAUGGUGCUACCAUGAAGACCUUCUGCGGCACACCCGAGUACCUGGCCCCUGAGGUGCUGGAGGACAAUGACUACGGCCGUGCGGUGGACUGGUGGGGGCUGGGCGUGGUCAUGUACGAGAUGAUGUGCGGCCGCCUGCCCUUCUACAACCAGGACCAUGAGAAGCUUUUUGAGCUCAUCCUCAUGGAGGAGAUCCGCUUCCCGCGCACGCUUGGUCCCGAGGCCAAGUCCUUGCUCUCGGGGCUGCUCAAGAAGGACCCCAAGCAGAGGCUUGGCGGGGGUUCCGAGGACGCCAAGGAGAUCAUGCAGCAUCGCUUCUUUGCCGGCAUCGUGUGGCAGCAUGUGUACGAGAAGAAGCUCAGCCCGCCCUUCAAGCCCCAGGUCACAUCGGAGACCGACACCAGGUAUUUUGACGAGGAGUUCACGGCCCAGAUGAUCACCAUCACACCACCUGACCAAGACGACAGCAUGGAGUGUGUGGACAGCGAGCGCAGGCCCCACUUCCCCCAGUUCUCCUACUCGGCCAGCGGCACGGCCUGAGGCGGCGGUGGACUGCGCUGGACGGUAGCUUGGAGGGAUGGAGAGGCGACCUCGUGCCAUGAUCUGUAUUUAAUGGUUUUUAUUUCUCGGGUGCAUUUGAGAGAAGCCACGCCGUCCUCCUGAGCCCAGGUGGAAAGACGUUUUUGUGCUGUGGGCAGCACCCUCCCCCGCAGCGGGGUAGGGAAGAAAAUUGUCCUGCGGGUUUUAAUUUAUUUCAUCCAGUUUGUUCUCCGGACGUGGCCUCAGCCCUCAGAACAAUCCGAUUCACAUAGGGAAAUGUUAAGGACUUCUGCAGCUAUGCGCAAUGUGGCGUUGGGGGGCCGGGCAGGUCCUGCCCACGUGUCCCCUCACUCUGUCAGCCAGCCGCCCUGGGCUGUCUGUCACCAGCUAUCUGUCAUCUCUCUGGGGCCCUGGGCCUCAGUUCAGCCUGGUGGCACCAGAUGCAACCUCACUAUGGCAUGCUGGCCGGCACCCUCUCCUGGGGGUGGCAGGCACACGGCAGCCCCCAGCACUAAGGCCGUGUCUCUGAGGACGUCAUUGGAGGCUGGGCCCCUGGGAUGGGACCAGGGAUGGGGGAUGGGCCAGGGUUUACCCAGUGGGACAGAGGAGCAAGGUUUAAAUUUGUUAUUGUGUAUCAUGUUGGUCAAAUGCAUUUUGGGGGUUUUUAAUCUUUGUGACAGGAAAGCCCUCCCCCUUCCCCUUCUGUGUCACAGUUCUUGGUGACUGUCCCACCGGGAGCCUUCCCCUCAGAUGAUCUCUCCACGGUAGCACUUGACCUUUUUGCCGCUUAACCUUUCCGCUGUCGCCCCGGGCCCUCCCUGACUCCCUGUGGGGGUGGCCAUCCCUGGGCCCCUCCACGCCCUCCUGGCCAGACGCUGCCGCUGCUGCUGCACCACGGCGUUUUUUUACAACAUUCAACUUUAGUAUUUUUACUAUUAUAAUAUGAAAAUUUCCCUCCAAAUUCUUCAAUAAAAGUUGCUUUUC
This 2796-nucleotide small RNA is filed under the name Pongo abelii (Sumatran orangutan). RNAcentral's name for it is "retained intron". Lineage: Eukaryota; Metazoa; Chordata; Mammalia; Primates; Hominidae. The record is from RNAcentral.